ACCCUCCUGUUCCCUUUCCCAUCGGAUCUGAACACUGGUCUUGGUGGUCGUAAAGGGAGGGAUAGUAACACUGAAGCUGGCCUCACAGGGCUCCUUGGUUCUGCCAUGUAGCACAUGGGCUAGUUUCAAACAAAC
Sorex araneus (European shrew) is the source of this 135-nucleotide small nucleolar RNA. Ensembl annotates it as small nucleolar RNA, H/ACA box 61. Its record names the gene SNORA61. The record is from Ensembl. Lineage: Eukaryota; Metazoa; Chordata; Mammalia; Eulipotyphla; Soricidae.